AGUUUGAUCAUGGCUCAGAUUGACACGCUGGCUGCAGGCCUAACACAUGCAAGUCGAGCGGCAGCACAAGGGAGUUUACUCCUGAGUGUGGCGAGCGGCGGACGGGUGAGUAAUGCCUAGGGAUCUGCCCAGUCGAGGGGGAUAACAGUUGGAAACGACUGCUAAUACCGCAUACGCCCUACGGGGGAAAGAGGGGGACCUUCGGGCCUCUCGCGAUUGGAUGAACCUAGGUGGGAUUAGCUAGUUGGUGAGGUAAUGGCUCACCAAGGCGACGAUCCCUAGCUGUUCUGAGAGGAUGAUCAGCCACACUGGG
Molecule: ribosomal RNA, 313 nt
Filed under: uncultured bacterium
Lineage: Bacteria
Description: bacterial SSU rRNA
Rfam family: Bacterial small subunit ribosomal RNA
Source: RNAcentral